Ophidiomyces ophidiicola is the source of this 88-nucleotide non-coding RNA. The record is from the annotation of a RefSeq genome assembly. NCBI's taxonomy places the organism in Eukaryota, Fungi, Ascomycota, Eurotiomycetes, Onygenales, Onygenaceae.
CCGCUCGUGGUCUAGUUGGUUAUGGCAUCCGGCUGUAAAUGGAAUAUUGUAAACCGGGUUGUCGCUGGUUCGAUUCCAGCCGAGCGGA